CGCCUUUUGACUUAUCAACAUAAAAGGUCCUGCCUGCCCAGUGACACCUGUUCAACGGCCGCGGUAUUAUGACCGUGCAAAGGUAGCGUAAUCACUUGUCCUUUAAAUAAAGACCGGUAUGAACGGCAAGACGAGAGCCUAACUGUCUCUCCAUAUUAGUCAAUGAAAUUGAUUUUUCCGUGCAAAAGCGGAAAUAUUAUUAUAAGACGAGAAGACCCUGUGGAGCUUUAAGUCAAAAUUAACUAUUUAAUAUAGCAUAACCAAAGACUUUAGGUUGGGGCGACCACGAGGUAUAAUAAAACCCUCAAGAUAAAACCAUAGAGGGACACUUCAAAUAAACAAGAUAUUGAUAUAUUGACCCAAAAAUUGAUCAACGAACCAAGUUACCCCAGGGAUAACAGCGCAAUCCACUCAAAGAGUCCUUAUCGACGAGCGGGUUUACGACCUCGAUGUUGGAUCAGGACCCCCAAAUAAUGUAACAAUUAUUAAAGGUUCGUUUGUUCAACGAUUAAAGUCCU
Molecule: ribosomal RNA, 518 nt
Filed under: Thorius sp. IBH 13996
Lineage: Eukaryota; Metazoa; Chordata; Amphibia; Caudata; Plethodontidae
Description: LSU rRNA
Rfam family: Bacterial large subunit ribosomal RNA
Source: RNAcentral